Molecule: transfer RNA, 74 nt
Filed under: Weissella viridescens
Lineage: Bacteria; Bacillati; Bacillota; Bacilli; Lactobacillales; Lactobacillaceae
Description: tRNA-Met
Rfam family: tRNA
About the family: Transfer RNA (tRNA) molecules are approximately 80 nucleotides in length.
Source: RNAcentral
GAAUCAUUAGCUCAGUUGGUUAGAGCAGACGGCUCAUAACCGUCCGGUCGCUGGUUUGAGUCCAGCAUGAUUCA